AGAACCAUUUUUUUUGUGUGUGUUGUUUCAGAAUCUCCUACUAUAAAAGUAUCUCCAGAUGUCAUAAGAGAGUCCAGCUCAGUGAAGAUCAGCUGUGAGACUCCAGCAGAUGUUAGAGUGAGUCAGUGUUAUUUCUACACAAACAGAGAAGAGAAAAAUAUAAACGUCACUUCAUCAUGUGAGCUCGAGCUCACUGGUGCUGAAGUGCUCAGAUGGGCAGGUGUAAAAUCACCUAAAUCAAUCUACAUUAACUGUUACUACACAAUAAAUGAACGAGGCAUCGAUAAACCAUCAUCUCAUUCUCCUGCCACAGUGACGGUUCUAGAUUCAAUUCCGAAACCCAUCAUCAGUGUUAGUGAUGAUGAUGACCAGCUCAGCAUAUUGUGUGAAAUACCACUUUCAGUCAGAGCUGAUUUCAUCUGUAGUUUCUACACUGAGGAUGAUGUUCUUCUGUAUCAACGUGUCUCUCUGUGGAGUCAGUCUGGAAAGAAUCUUUGUAUGUUUUAUGUAAGUCAUAGUGAACUCUUCACACGAUCAGUGAACAGCAGACAGCUGAUCUGUGUUUAUUCACUCAAGACUGAACCUGAGAUCAGAUCACCACACAGUGACACAUACACCUUCAGAGACACAGUCACCAUCAGAGGUGAGUUAAUAUUGUUACAGCAAAUUAUCCAGUGUUGAAAUCCUAGUGUUGAGGACUUUUAGAGUAAAGUGUUAAAGUUGUGGUGUUGAAUUUACUAACUAGUGUAAACAGCCCCCUCUGGCCGGUGUAAAUACGCAGAGUUACCUUUAUUAACACUGUUGAGUGUUAAUAGGCCUUUAUCACACUUCCGCAUUUGAAAAGCGGAAGAUUCAAAUAGAAGCGUAAAAGAACUUCCGCUGCAGCCUCUAUCAACAGCUGUGCCCAUAGCAUGCCAUUGUUGUGGAUUAUUUAUCUAGAAUUCAGCACAUAUAUGUCAUCUAAAGACACCAAUCUCAGUUUACUACAAUUAAUUGAGUAUUAUGAAACGAAGGAAUAAGUUGUCACGAUAUCCCGAAGCGUAUUUCGAGACUUAAACAGGAGUGUGCGAGCCAUGCUGUAUGUGUAUAGGCAAUUCUUCCCAGUCUGAUCACCUUAUUUAAUUUCAGAACAGCGAAAAAAAUAGACAAACAACAUAUCAUAUAAGCAUUCGAAUUUGCCAAAGCUUAAAACAUUAAUUAUGACUAAAUUAAGGGUGUAUAGAAGGAUUAAAUUAAAGGUUUAGGGCAAACUUGUAUUAAACAUUUAGCUCACAUUUUUUUUUCACAAUAAAUAUAAUGCAAAAAUAAAAUAAUAUUACA
Cyprinus carpio (common carp) is the source of this 1320-nucleotide long non-coding RNA. Lineage: Eukaryota; Metazoa; Chordata; Actinopteri; Cypriniformes; Cyprinidae. The record is from Ensembl.